Molecule: ribosomal RNA, 430 nt
Filed under: Bacteroidota bacterium
Lineage: Bacteria; Pseudomonadati; Bacteroidota
Description: Bacteroidetes bacterium partial 16S ribosomal RNA
Rfam family: Bacterial small subunit ribosomal RNA
Source: RNAcentral
UAGGGAAUCUUCGGCAAUGGGGGGAACCCUGACCGAGCAACGCCGCGUGAGUGAAGAAGGUUUUCGGAUCGUAAAGCUCUGUUGUUAAGGAAGAACGAGUGUGAGAAUGGAAAGUUCAUGCUGUGACGGUACUUAACCAGAAAGGGACGGCUAACUACGUGCCAGCAGCCGCGGUAAUACGUAGGUGGCAAGCGUUGUCCGGAUUUAUUGGGCGUAAAGCGAGCGCAGGCGGUCAAUUAAGUCUGAUGUGAAAGCCCCCGGCUCAACCGGAGAGGGUCAAUGGAAACUGGUUGACUUGAGUGCAGAAGAGGAGGGUGGAAUUCCAUGUGUAGCGGUGAAAUGCGUAGGUAUAUGGAGGAACACCAGUGGCGAAGGCGACUCUCUGGUCUGUAACUGACGCUGAGGCUCGAAAGCGUGGGUAGCAAACAGG